GCCCCUAUCGUCUAACCUGGUUCAGGACAUCAGAUUUUCAAUCUGGUAAUUCGGGUUCAAAUCCCGAUGGGGGCA
RNAcentral lists this transfer RNA (75 nucleotides) under Candidatus Niyogibacteria bacterium RIFCSPLOWO2_12_FULL_41_13. RNAcentral describes it as "tRNA-Glu". It matches the Rfam family "tRNA". Rfam says of the family: Transfer RNA (tRNA) molecules are approximately 80 nucleotides in length. Their secondary structure includes four short double-helical elements and three loops (D, anti-codon, and T loops). The record is from RNAcentral. Lineage: Bacteria; Candidatus Niyogiibacteriota.